Oreochromis aureus is the source of this 1021-nucleotide long non-coding RNA. NCBI's taxonomy places the organism in Eukaryota, Metazoa, Chordata, Actinopteri, Cichliformes, Cichlidae. The record is from Ensembl.
GCGUUCCUACGUGAAAGUAACGGUAAUCUAAUUACCGUUUUGCAAUAGUAAUCCCUUACAUUACUCGUUACUUGAAAAAAGUAAUCAGAUUACAGUAACGCGUUACAAGUAACGCGUUACUGCCCAUCUCUGGUAAUGAGGGGUACCACUGGAGGAGUGCAGCGUAAGAUACAGGACAUUUAUGCUAACGCUCACUACGUACAUUGUUAUGCCCAUCAGUUAAACCUGGUAAUGCAACAAGCAACCUCCCACAUCCCUCAAAUCAGUCACUUUUUUUUCCGACAUAGCAGGAUUCGCUUCUUUUUUUUACUAAAUCGAGCAAGAGGACUGCAGUGCUUGACGAGGUGGUGGCGCACCGACUUCCAAGUGCAUCGGCAACCCGUUGGAACUUCAACAGUCGUGCUGUGAAUACAGUGUAUGAACAUAAAGACGAUCUGGUGAGCUGUUUUCAGACCAUCCGUAACAGUGAAGGAUUUGAUGCCCCUACAAAGAGAGAUGCCGGUGGUUUCGUGAGAAUGCUGGAAGACGAAGCUUUCUGUUUUUUUCCUGGCCUUGUUUCACAAGAUAAUGCCACAUGUAGACAUGCUGUAUAACCACCUACAGAAGAGAAACAUCGAUUCUGUCACCAUCGCAGGGAUCACCCAGACAUUCAUCAGCCGCAUGCAGGCUAUCAGGGAGGCACUUCCUAAUCUGGUUGUGGAUGAGGAGUACAGGGGACCUGUUCAAGACCCACCCACAAAGAGACGGAGAACAUUGGGGAAGACAGGCAACACCAUUUGGCACUGGAGGUGUGCGACACCAUUAUGAGCCAUGCCAAGGAGAGGUUUUCUUUCACCAAGCACCUUGUCAGCGCCACUCUGUUGCAAGGAGACUUGUUCCAACAACACAGCAAAAAUUUUCCAGAUGCAGCACUACAAACCACAGUGGAAGCCUAUCCCUCAUUGGACAAAGCCAGACUUAAAACAGAACUGUCCCUGAUCUACGACAACGAGGAGUUUCAGAGUUGUAGUGGUGCGCUGGC